UGACCUCGGAUCAGGUAGGAGUACCCGCUGAACUUAAGCAUAUCAAUAAGCGGAGGAAAAGAAACCAACAGGGAUUGCCUCAGUAACGGCGAGUGAAGCGGCAAAAGCUCAAAUUUGAAAUCUGGCUCCAUGCGGAGCCCGAGUUGUAAUUUGGAGAGGACACUUCGGGUGCGGCCACGGCAUAAGUUCCUUGGAACAGGACGUCAUAGAGGGUGAGAAUCCCGUCUUUGGCUGCUGGACCGCGCCCAUGCGAAGUUCCUCCGACGAGUCGAGUUGUUUGGGAUGCAGCUCUAAGUGGGUGGUAAAUUUCAUCUAAGGCUAAUGUUUGGCCGGAGACGAGAGAGAGGCAAGUGGUUAAACCACCGCUCAACAGCGCGUUGAAAAGCGCGCCAAAUAGUUCGUGAAGUUGUGGAAGGGGAACCGCUUGCACGCCGGAGUCGCGCGCGGGGGUUCGCCGUGUUU
RNAcentral lists this non-coding RNA (462 nucleotides) under Coccidioides immitis H538.4. Its description in RNAcentral is "Eukaryotic large subunit ribosomal RNA". It matches the Rfam family "Eukaryotic large subunit ribosomal RNA", at positions 1 to 460 of the family's 3401-position model. Lineage: Eukaryota; Fungi; Ascomycota; Eurotiomycetes; Onygenales; Onygenaceae. The record is from Rfam by way of RNAcentral.